RNAcentral lists this unclassified non-coding RNA (384 nucleotides) under Basidiomycota sp. RNAcentral describes it as "partial contains small subunit ribosomal RNA, internal transcribed spacer 1, and 5.8S ribosomal RNA". The stretch from base 1 to 47 matches the Rfam family "Eukaryotic small subunit ribosomal RNA", at positions 1785 to 1831 of the family's 1831-position model. Lineage: Eukaryota; Fungi; Basidiomycota. The record is from RNAcentral.
AAAGUCGUAACAAGGUUUCCGUAGGUGAACCUGCGGAAGGAUCAUUAACACGUAUCCACGUAUCAAACCAAAUCUGUGCACUUAAUCCUUCCCUACUGGUGGGAUAGCUGUUCGUGAACUCCAUGGUGGGUAUGGCAGAAAUGCCAUACGGUGACACGAACUACCGAGUCUCUGAGCUCGAAGCUAUUCCUGCUGAUAGGCUAAACAUUUUUAACUUCAUCCCAUCAUCUUCUUUCUAUCAUGAGAGAUGGUGGCGAUGGAGGUAAGAAACCCUAUUCACCCUUUUUACCAAUUUGACUGAUGCGCAGAGAGACAGCGAAAGCCGUCUUCUACUGAGUUUAUCUAAACUAAGCACAACUCUUAGCAAUGGAUAUCUUGGUUCUC